CACUAGAUAAAGGGGUAAAUAUGUUAAAAAAGAUCUUAGUGUGUUCGCUUUCUAAUUUGAAUUAUCGGGUUUUCUAAAACACUCAGAAAGAUUUACACAGUAUCUACGAAUGAUCAAUCGUGACGUUCGCUACGGAUCGCACGCAUGCAUUAAGGAGGUCAUACAUUGCACGACAGUGGGAUGCAGGCAUUAAGGAGGCCAUACAUCGCACGACAGUGGGCAUUAAGAAGGUCAUACACCAAACAUUGCUUGUCAAUAAACUCAUGUCAUGCCACUCUUGAAACCAAUGAUGAAAUGAUAUAUAGCGUAUUCAUGACGGGUUUUUUUUUUGUUGAGAAAAAUAUCUUUGAAAAUUCAGAAAUGCAAAAAUCUCCAAAUGAUUCAAACCAUUCUAACAAGUACAUUACUGAUUUCUGGUUGCCUCUUGACCAAGCGUAUACUCACAAAGCAUUUUAAAAAAAACCAUGAAGCAGGGUAACUCAUUUUAUAUUUCGAUUCGGUGUGAAGUGUAUAGUGGCUGUAAGCUCGCAAACGAGAUGACGCGAGAUUUGAGUACUUCCGGUGACAAACAAACCUUUACGGUUUGCAUGAAAUCAUUAUUAUCAUACCAGUUGGAAAUAUCCUGCAGUUUUUAUCGUUUUUUUGUUGUUGUUUUUUGGUCGAUGCAAAGAAGUGGACGUUAUGGGGAAAGUUGUGCAGGUUAGAUGGAUCGAUGCCAUUGAGACUAAUCUCUUGAAAUAUUCCCGGACACCUUGAUACCCAGGCCAUGACAUACAGUUCCUGUAAGUGCUGACUUACCAUCAAAGCAGUGAUUUGUGUAAUACCGAAUGGUGCACUCACUUAUUUUAGGGAUCAACAUGUACUCCACAGAAAAGUUCCAGCAAAACCCAAGGCUGGAAAACAGUUUAGGUGUUCACCAUCUGUGAUCAAUUAAAACAAUGUGUGUCCUUGGAACAUUCCGGCUUUUUAUCCUUGAGAGGACAGUUGGCUUAUAAAAAAGUUGAACUGCGUUACAUGUUUGCCAGGGAAGUAUUUACGUCGAGAGGGCUAAAGAAAGGAUAAAAUCCACAUACCAGCAGGCUACGAGCCAAUAUUAACCAAGAUAAAUAUGUGCAUGGGAUGCAUUAAACAGUAUAUUAAAUUCUAAUAACUGUUUAUUCAACCGUUAUAUUUUUAAAACUUUUUCUGGAGUGACUGUUAAGUACAAUGCUCUAUAUGUUCACAUCUUCAGGAAUUAAGCACUCGUGUGGGGGUUUUUUUUUGGGGGGGGGUAAAUUUUAAUAUCGUUUUCUUCAUUUAUUAUUAUUAUUUGCAAAUCCUGUAUGAAUAAAAUAAAACUCGUAUGUCAAAUAGUUUAGUAUAAAUAAAAAAUGCACUAUUGA
Long non-coding RNA from Ostrea edulis (European flat oyster), 1382 nucleotides. RefSeq lists it as uncharacterized. The transcript has 2 exons. Lineage: Eukaryota; Metazoa; Mollusca; Bivalvia; Ostreida; Ostreidae. The record is from RefSeq and is a predicted model, not a curated record.